RNAcentral lists this ribosomal RNA (304 nucleotides) under uncultured bacterium. RNAcentral describes it as "partial 16S ribosomal RNA". It matches the Rfam family "Bacterial small subunit ribosomal RNA", at positions 506 to 809 of the family's 1533-position model. The record is from RNAcentral.
CAGCAGCAGCCGCGGUAAUACAGAGGGUGCGAGCGUUAAUCGGAUUUACUGGGCGUAAAGCGUGCGUAGGCGGCUUUUUAAGUCGGAUGUGAAAUCCCUGAGCUUAACUUAGGAAUUGCAUUCGAUACUGGGAAGCUAGAGUAUGGGAGAGGAUGGUAGAAUUCCAGGUGUAGCGGUGAAAUGCGUAGAGAUCUGGAGGAAUACCGAUGGCGAAGGCAGCCAUCUGGCCUAAUACUGACGCUGAGGUACGAAAGCAUGGGGAGCAAACAGGAUUAGAUACCCCCGUAGUCCCUGUCUCUUAUAA